CAGUCGCCACGGGAAUACGAAGGGGGCUAGCGUUACUCGGAAUUACUGGGCGUAAAGGGCGCGUAGGCGGCGCUCCAAGUUAGGCGUGAAAGUCCUGGGCUCAACCUGGGAACUGCGCUUAAGACUGGAGUGCUUGAGGAUGGAAGAGGGUUGUGGAAUUCCCAGUGUAGAGGUGAAAUUCGUAGAUAUUGGAUGGAACACCGGUGGCGAAAGCGGCUCUCUGGCCCGGAUCUGACGCUGAGGCGCGAAAGCGUGGGGAGCAAACAGGAUUAGAUACCCCGGUAGUCCCUGUCUCUUAUAC
RNAcentral lists this ribosomal RNA (301 nucleotides) under uncultured bacterium. RNAcentral's name for it is "partial 16S ribosomal RNA". It matches the Rfam family "Bacterial small subunit ribosomal RNA", at positions 509 to 807 of the family's 1533-position model. The record is from RNAcentral.